CAGGGAAUAUUGCACAAUGGGCGAAAGCCUGAUGCAGCGACGCCGCGUGGGGGAUGAAGGCCCUAGGGUCGUAAACCCCUUUCAGUGGGGACGAAAAUGACGGUACCCAUAGAAGAAGCCCCGGCCAACUACGUGCCAGCAGCCGCGGUAAGACGUAGGGGGCGAGCGUUGUCCGGAUUUAUUGGGCGUAAAGAGCUCGUAGGCGGUUGCGUAAGUCGGAUGUGAAAACUCAGGGCUCAACCCUGAGACGCCAUCCGAUACUGCGCUGACUUGAAUCCAGUAGGGGAGUGUGGAAUUCCUGGUGUAGCGGUGAAAUGCGCAGAUAUCAGGAGGAACACCUAUGGCGAAGGCAGCACUCUGGGCUGGUAUUGACGCUGAGGAGCGAAAGCGUGGGUAGCAAACAGGAUUAGAUACCCCCGUAGUCC
This 425-nucleotide ribosomal RNA is filed under the name uncultured prokaryote. Its description in RNAcentral is "bacterial SSU rRNA". It matches the Rfam family "Bacterial small subunit ribosomal RNA", at positions 355 to 796 of the family's 1533-position model. The record is from RNAcentral.